CCGAGUUUACAACUCCAAACCCCUGUGAACAUACCUAUACGUUGCCUCGGCGGAUCAGCCCGCGCCCCGUAAAAAGGGACGGCCCGCCCGAGGACCCCUAAACUCUGUUUUUAGUGGAACUUCUGAGUAAACAAACAAAUAAUCA
This 145-nucleotide unclassified non-coding RNA is filed under the name soil metagenome. RNAcentral's name for it is "partial internal transcribed spacer 1". The record is from RNAcentral.